This 218-nucleotide ribosomal RNA is filed under the name uncultured bacterium. RNAcentral describes it as "partial 16S ribosomal RNA". It matches the Rfam family "Bacterial small subunit ribosomal RNA", at positions 28 to 240 of the family's 1533-position model. The record is from RNAcentral.
GAUGAACGCUAGCGGCAGGCCUAAUACAUGCAAGUCGAACGGUAACAUGAGUAGCAAUACUUGAUGACGAGUGGCGCACGGGUGCGUAACACGUAUGUAAUCUACCCACAACUGGGGGAUAGCCCGGAGAAAUCCGGAUUAACACCCCAUAACAACAACGAAGCGGCAUCGCUUUGUUUGUUAAACCUCAGGGGGUUGGUGGAUGAACAUGCGCCCGA